Molecule: small RNA, 381 nt
Filed under: Histoplasma ohiense
Lineage: Eukaryota; Fungi; Ascomycota; Eurotiomycetes; Onygenales; Ajellomycetaceae
Description: hypothetical lncRNA
Source: RNAcentral
CCUUGGCCCUGGCAUCGCGACGCGUUCCUUGCGGUAGAUAGGGUUACAUUUUUGAUAUUCAAUGACUCAAGUGAAAUUGAACAUACAUGAGAAACAUAUCUGCCGCAUACGAUCAUUUUCGGAAGUACGGUCUUCUGCUGUUUCCUGCUAAGCAUGACAUCAGUCCACAGAAAAGGGUUAACUAGUAGUGUAUUCCAUCAUCAUUGAUUAUUCUGUACAAAAUUAAUCAGAUCAACCUGGUCCUGGGAAUCCCCGGAAGUAGCAACCCCAAUGAGGACAAACAGGAUACCAAUGACUUUCUUCCCAUGAUAUAAAAAAAAAAAAAAUAAAAGAUAAAAGUUAAGGUACGCGAUAACCCCACCGCAGUAGUUUGACUGGGUU